AUGGACGGAGGUAUGGGCUUCCGGGACCUACACUCUUUUAACCUAGUCAUGGCAAAACAAUCUUGGAGACUCAUCACAAAUAUUGAUAUGUUGUGUGCUCAAGUUCUAAAAGCUAAGUAUUAUCCUCACUGCAAUUUACUAAAGGCAGGCCCUAAAAAAAGCUCCUCUUUCACGUGGCAAAAUAUUGUGGCUGACCUGUGUACUUCUCGGAGAGGACACAUUUGGAGAGUUGGCACGGGUGAAUAGAUAGAUAUUUGGGAGGACCACUGGAUACCAGGAAGUCCAUCUAGAAUGGUGCAAACACCUAAGGGCCAAAUUCUGCUACAGACCGUAAGUGAUUUAAUUGAACUUGCUACUGAAAGUUUGGAUGAGAUGCUCAUAAGGAAUGUUUUUAACCCGAUUGACGUGGAAAGAAUCUUGCUAACACCCUUGAGCGUACAUCUGAAUGAAAAUUUUGUGGCCUGGCAUUUUACAAAAUCAUAUAUAUUCACAGUAAAGUCGGUGUACUAUAUUGAAUGGGAUCAUGUCCAUAGACACCGACUGACUAGAGCGGAUGGACAAGGGACAACUUCAUGCAAUCCUGUUUGGGACACCUUAUGA
Molecule: ribosomal RNA, 600 nt
Filed under: Triticum aestivum (bread wheat)
Lineage: Eukaryota; Viridiplantae; Streptophyta; Magnoliopsida; Poales; Poaceae
Description: partial small subunit ribosomal RNA
Source: RNAcentral